UUCAUGCGCAUAAAAUUCUUUUGAUAAACGGUCCAAAUUUUCAUGUUCCCUCACAGUACAGGAAAACAUUAAUUGGAGUUGUUGUGCUGCAAAUUAUCGCAUUUCUUUCCACAUUACUAAUUUUAAUAUUUCGAUCGUACAUUGCUGAAAUGUUUUUGGAACAUUUAAUGAACGGUUAUUACAUUCAUCCGUCUAUUAAAGAUACCAUGGACACAGUGCAACUAAAUUUCGAGUGCUGUGGAAUUAACAGCUACAAGGAUUGGUCCAGUUCGUUACCGGUUUCGUGUUGCGGUUCAUCAGUUUCAAUUUGUAACACAGCAACGAAAUUUCUCGGCUGUAAAGAGAAUCUGAGUAUGUUCAUGCUGUUAAUUUGUUUGGCAUUUCUAUUCGUAUCCACUGGGAACAUCAUCUUACAUGCAUAUUGCAUCCAUUGUGCAUUUAAAUUAAGCGAAGAGUACAAGAGGGUGAUGAUGGAUGGAUUUUGAUUUUCUUUUUUUGUUGUAUAAAUUCGGAUGAAAACAGAG
This is a long non-coding RNA of Bradysia coprophila, 524 nucleotides long. The record is from RefSeq and is a predicted model, not a curated record. Lineage: Eukaryota; Metazoa; Arthropoda; Insecta; Diptera; Sciaridae.